AACGAACGCUGGCGGCAUGCCUAACACAUGCAAGUCGAACGAGACCUUCGGGUCUAGUGGCGCCCGGGUGCGUACCGCGUGGGAACCUGCCCUUAGGUUCGGAAUAACUCCCCGAAAGGGGUGCUAAUACCGGAUAAUGUCUUCGGCCCAAAGAUUUAUCGCCUUUGGAUGGGCCCGCGUUGGAUUAGCUAGUUGGUAGGGUAAAAGCCUACCAAGGCGACGAUCCAUAGCUGGUCUGAGAGGAUGAUCAGCCACACUGGGACUGAGACACGGCCCAGAAUCCUACGGGAUGGAGGAGUGGGGAAUAUUGGAAAAUGGGCGAAAGCCUGAUGGAGCAAGGCCGGGUGAGUGAUGAAGGCCGUAGGGAUGUAAAGCUCUUUUACCCGGGAUGAUAAUGACAGUACCGGGAGAAUAAGCACCGGCUAACUCCGUG
RNAcentral lists this ribosomal RNA (433 nucleotides) under uncultured bacterium. Its description in RNAcentral is "partial 16S ribosomal RNA". It matches the Rfam family "Bacterial small subunit ribosomal RNA", at positions 29 to 507 of the family's 1533-position model. The record is from RNAcentral.